This 650-nucleotide ribosomal RNA is filed under the name Enterococcus sp. RNAcentral describes it as "bacterial SSU rRNA". It matches the Rfam family "Bacterial small subunit ribosomal RNA", at positions 212 to 852 of the family's 1533-position model. Lineage: Bacteria; Bacillati; Bacillota; Bacilli; Lactobacillales; Enterococcaceae. The record is from RNAcentral.
GCGUCACUGAUGGAUGGACCCGCGGUGCAUUAGCUAGUUGGUGAGGUAACGGCUCACCAAGGCAACGAUGCAUAGCCGACCUGAGAGGGUGAUCGGCCACACUGGGACUGAGACACGGCCCAGACUCCUACGGGAGGCAGCAGUAGGGAAUCUUCGGCAAUGGACGAAAGUCUGACCGAGCAACGCCGCGUGAGUGAAGAAGGUUUUCGGAUCGUAAAACUCUGUUGUUAGAGAAGAACAAGGAUGAGAGUAAAAUGUUCAUCCCUUGACGGUAUCUAACCAGAAAGCCACGGCUAACUACGUGCCAGCAGCCGCGGUAAUACGUAGGUGGCAAGCGUUGUCCGGAUUUAUUGGGCGUAAAGCGAGCGCAGGCGGUUUCUUAAGUCUGAUGUGAAAGCCCCCGGCUCAACCGGGGAGGGUCAUUGGAAACUGGGAGACUUGAGUGCAGAAGAGGAGAGUGGAAUUCCAUGUGUAGCGGUGAAAUGCGUAGAUAUAUGGAGGAACACCAGUGGCGAAGGCGGCUCUCUGGUCUGUAACUGACGCUGAGGCUCGAAAGCGUGGGGAGCGAACAGGAUUAGAUACCCUGGUAGUCCACGCCGUAAACGAUGAGUGCUAAGUGUUGGAGGGUUUCCGCCCUUCAGUGCUGCAGC